GGGCCCGCACAAGCGGUGGAGCAUGUGGUUUAAUUCGAUGCAACGCGAAGAACCUUACCAGGGCUUGACAUACUGCGAAUCUUUUUGAAAGAAGAGAGUGCCUUCGGGAAUGCAGAUACAGGUGGUGCAUGGCUGUCGUCAGCUCGUGUCGUGAGAUGUUGGGUUAAGUCCCGCAACGAGCGCAACCCUUGUUUUAGUUACCAAUUCGUUGGGUUUCUAGAAAGACUGCCGGUGACAAACCGGAGGAAGGUGAGGAUGACGUCAAGUCAGCAUGCCCCUUAUGUCCUGGGCUACACACGUGCUACAAUGGUUAGGACAAAGAGUCGCGAGCUCGCAAGAGUCAGCUAAUCUCAUAAACUUAGCCUAAGUUCGGAUUGUAGGCUGCAACUCGCCUACAUG
This 399-nucleotide ribosomal RNA is filed under the name uncultured bacterium. RNAcentral's name for it is "bacterial SSU rRNA". It matches the Rfam family "Bacterial small subunit ribosomal RNA", at positions 917 to 1322 of the family's 1533-position model. The record is from RNAcentral.